AACGAACGCUGGCGGCAUGCCUAACACAUGCAAGUCGAACGAUCCCUUCGGGGAUAGUUGCGCACGGGUGCGUAACGCGUGGGAACCUGCCCUUAGGUUCGGAAUAACUCAGAGAAAUUUGAGCUAAUACCGGAUAAUGUCUUCGGACCAAAGAUUUAUCGCCUUUGGAUGGGCCCGCGUUGGAUUAGCUAGUUGGUGGGGUAAAGGCCUACCAAGGCGACGAUCCAUAGCUGGUCUGAGAGGAUGAUCAGCCACACUGGGACUGAGACACGGCCCAGACUCCUACGGGAGGCAGCAGUGGGGAAUAUUGGACAAUGGGCGAAAGCCUGAUCCAGCAAUGCCGCGUGAGUGAUGAAGGCCUUAGGGUUGUAAAGCUCUUUUACCCGGGAUGAUAAUGACAGUACCGGGAGAAUAAGCCCCGGCUAACUCCGUG
This 433-nucleotide ribosomal RNA is filed under the name uncultured bacterium. RNAcentral's name for it is "partial 16S ribosomal RNA". It matches the Rfam family "Bacterial small subunit ribosomal RNA", at positions 29 to 507 of the family's 1533-position model. The record is from RNAcentral.